This 215-nucleotide ribosomal RNA is filed under the name Clostridioides difficile. Its description in RNAcentral is "partial 23S ribosomal RNA". It matches the Rfam family "Bacterial large subunit ribosomal RNA", at positions 1325 to 1536 of the family's 2925-position model. The record is from RNAcentral. Lineage: Bacteria; Bacillati; Bacillota; Clostridia; Peptostreptococcales; Peptostreptococcaceae.
GAAUCCCACAGGCCGUAAACCCAAGGUUUCCAGGGGAAGGUUCGUCCGCCCUGGGUUAGUCGGGACCUAAGCUGCGGCCGAAAGGCGUAGGUGAUGGACAACAGGUUGAUAUUCCUGUACUACCGAUAACCGUUUGAGAGAAGGGAUGACACAGUAGGAUAAGCUAAGCACACUGUUGGUUAUGUGUGCCCAAGCAUUGAGGCAGUCAAAGUAGG